ACUCAACAAGAUAGCUCAGUCGGUAGAGCAUGAGACUCUUAAACUUAAGUUCAUGAGUUCAAGCCUCACGUUGGGCA
Non-coding RNA from Podarcis lilfordi (Lilford's wall lizard), 77 nucleotides. Lineage: Eukaryota; Metazoa; Chordata; Lepidosauria; Squamata; Lacertidae. The record is from the annotation of a GenBank genome assembly.